CCUUUUGGGGUUGAACUAGCAUGCGAGUUGUGCGUCUCCUAGCCACGUUGGAGACGCGGCGUACGGCUCAGUAACACGUAGUUAAUCUGCCCUUGGGACGAGAAUACCCCUGGGAAACUGGGGCUAAUUCUCGAUAGGCGCAGUGGCCUGGAAUGGUACUGCACCUAAAGGGCUUCAGGAACAUGCUCCUGAAGUCGCCCAAGGAUGAGACUGCGGCCGAUCAGGUUGUUGGUGGGGUAACGGCCUACCAAGCCUAUAACCGGUACGGGCCCUGAGAGGGGGAGCCCGGAGAUGGGCACUGAGACAAGGGCCCAGGCCCUAUGGGGCGCAGCAGGCGCGAAACCUCUGCAAUAGGCGAAAGCUUGACAGGGUUACUCUGAGUGAUUUCCGUUAAGGAGAUCUUUUGGCACCUCUAAAAAUGGUGCAGAAUAGGGGGUGGGCAAGUCUGGUGUCAGCCGCCGCGGUAAUACCAGCACCCCGAGUGGUCGGGACGUUUAUUGGGCCUAAAGCAUCCGUAGCCGGUUCUACAAGUCUUCCGUUAAAUCCACCUGCUUAACAGAUGGGCUGCGGAAGAUACUAUAGAGCUAGGAGGCGGGAGAGGCAAGCGGUACUCGAUGGGUAGGGGUAAAAUCCGUUGAUCCAUUGAAGACCACCAGUGGCGAAGGCGGCUUGCCAGAACGCGCUCGACGGUGAGGGAUGAAAGCUGGGGGAGCAAACCGGAUUAGAUACCCGGGUAGUCCCAGCUGUAAACGAUGCAGACUCGGUGAUGAAUUGGCUUAUUGCUAAUUCAGUGCCGCAGGGAAGCCGUUAAGUUUGCCGCCUGGGGAGUACGGUCGCAAGACUGAAACUUAAAGGAAUUGGCGGGGGAGCACCACAAGGGGUGAAGCCUGCGGUUCAAUUGGAGUCAACGCCGGA
RNAcentral lists this ribosomal RNA (915 nucleotides) under uncultured archaeon. RNAcentral's name for it is "partial 16S ribosomal RNA". It matches the Rfam family "Archaeal small subunit ribosomal RNA", at positions 29 to 922 of the family's 1478-position model. The record is from RNAcentral.